Molecule: ribosomal RNA, 121 nt
Filed under: Arabidopsis thaliana (thale cress)
Lineage: Eukaryota; Viridiplantae; Streptophyta; Magnoliopsida; Brassicales; Brassicaceae
Source: RNAcentral
GUACGCGAUCAUACCAGCACUAAUACACUGUAUCCCAUCAUAAUUCCGUAGUUAAACGCGUUCGGGCGAGAGUAAAACUAGGAUGAGUGACCUCCCGGGAAGUCCUCGUUCUGCAUCCGUC